AACAGCCGCGGUAAUUCCAGCUCCAAUAGCGUAUAUUAAAGUUGUUGCAGUUAAAAAGCUCGUAGUUGAAACUUAGGCCCGUGCGGGUGGUCCGUCCUCUGGGCGAGCACUGCGUCGUCGCGGGUCUCACCUUCUGGCGAGCGUGGAUGCCAUUCACUUGGUAUCCGCGGGAACCAGGACCUUUACCUUGAAAAAAUUAGAGUGCUCAAAGCGGGCUCGUACGCUUGAAUACAUUAGCAUGGAAUAAUGAAAUAGGACGACGGUUCUAUUUUGUUGGUUUCCGGGACAGUCGUAAUGAUUAAUAGGGAUAGUUGGGGGCAUUCGUAUUCAAUUGUCAGAGGUGAAAUUCUUGGAUUUAUUGAAGACGAACUACUGCGAAAGCAUUUGCCAAGGAUGUUUUCAUUAAUCAAGAACGAAAGUUGGGGGAUCGAAGACGAUCAGAUACCGUCGUAGUCUCAACCAUAAACUAUGCCGACUGGGAAUCGGGCGAUGUUACUCUUUUGACUCGCUCGGCGCCCCGAG
RNAcentral lists this ribosomal RNA (522 nucleotides) under uncultured Paraglomeraceae. Its description in RNAcentral is "SSU rRNA". It matches the Rfam family "Eukaryotic small subunit ribosomal RNA", at positions 569 to 1092 of the family's 1831-position model. Lineage: Eukaryota; Fungi; Glomeromycota; Glomeromycetes; Paraglomerales. The record is from RNAcentral.